Molecule: ribosomal RNA, 84 nt
Filed under: Timspurckia oligopyrenoides
Lineage: Eukaryota; Rhodophyta; Bangiophyceae; Porphyridiales; Porphyridiaceae
Description: partial 5.8S ribosomal RNA
Source: RNAcentral
AGAAAGACGCAGCAAAAUACGAAACGUUGUUCGAAGUUGAUUUCGACAACAACACCGAGUUUCUCGACGCAAACAGCGCGGUCG